CCCCGCCCCCACCGGUUCCCGAGCCCGCCCCGGCCACGCAGAUUCCGGCUCCCAGCCCCAGGACUCUGAUACUGGGCCCGCCGGGACUGAAGAGAACGGACUCCAGGUUUCCCUGGCUACCUGAGAAGUAGAAAUUCUCACCACAAGGACUACCUUUCAGGAUCCCUGCUCAGUUUAGUUUUUCAGACUUGCACACUGAGCAUAUUAUUGUCUCAAACAACUGUUGACUUACAUAUGAAUUUAUUUUUCUAGCCCCUCCCAUUUCACUACAUAGAGGGGGGUUCACUUAUUAGGAACAUUUUGUUGCUGAUAAUCUGGCUCCCUGCAGACCCUUGGAGAUUCCGUAUUACACUGCGUUCUUUACUUUGUAGCCCACAAUCUAUUAAGAUCAUUGAAAGCUUCUGUUUCUCUAUUUUGACUAUCAUAUUCUUUCAAUUACCUGUAAAAGUACUCAGGGGAACACUGCCUAUCAGCCAAACUCAAAACCUGUCCUUUUUUCUCCCUUAAGGCAGUAUCAAGCCAGCCUCAAAAGGAAAUAAGACUUUCUCCUCAGUUGAUGAGGAUUUUCCAUGGGGUUAAAUCUCACUCACCCUUCCUCAUCCUCCAUUCUCAACCCAGUGUGUCUCUGGAGAGCCAUAUAUAAGAACUUGCUGGAGCCUUCCAUGUCAGCCUGAAGCCCUUCUCACAGAAAGGAAAUUAUUUUGGAGAAAACUAACAUUUCAGAGGCACACUGUUGGUUUUUGUGCCUUGGGCUUCUUACUAAAAGAUGGUGAAAAGCAAAAAGAUGAGGUGUUUGCCCCAGGGUAAUGUCUGGAACCAGAAAAAUACAGAUAGUUAUUUGUCUCCAAAAAGCUUCCUGCCCAGACCAGCUGUCCUUUCCAGUUUACUAAACAUGUUAAAAAGAAAGUAAGCCAUCUUGCCAGAGGCUUUAACCGUCUCCUCAAAAAAUCUGCUUUCCUCUUGCCAGAUGUUACCCUGGAAAAUUGUUCUUCCACUUACCCAUUUCACAUUUCAUCAAGAAUACACGAGUCACCAAAAGCAAAAAGUAAAACUCUAGAAGCUGAACCCUCUCUCUGACUUUCCAUCAGCAUAUUACUGCCUAAUAUAUGUGACCAGUUACUCCCCAGAAAAACGCUCUCAGUAGAAAUUCACAUAUGGUGGUGGUAAGGAGUAGAUGAGUAGAUAACAGAGGACUCACAGCAACAAAAGGUGCAUCUCCAUUCUCCAGAAGGAUCAACUAAAUGGCAGCCUAUCUCCAGUUGAUUGUCUGUAUUUCUAAACUCCCAUUUUCCCAUUUCUAAAAAUAAAGUAAGUUCUUUGAGACCCAUAAUAUGUCAUAUGUGGUUUGUGGAUU
Long non-coding RNA from Choloepus didactylus (southern two-toed sloth), 1354 nucleotides. RefSeq lists it as uncharacterized. Lineage: Eukaryota; Metazoa; Chordata; Mammalia; Pilosa; Megalonychidae. The transcript is spliced from 3 exons. The record is from RefSeq and is a predicted model, not a curated record.